Molecule: non-coding RNA, 435 nt
Organism: Prunus avium (sweet cherry)
Lineage: Eukaryota; Viridiplantae; Streptophyta; Magnoliopsida; Rosales; Rosaceae
Source: RefSeq, a predicted model, not a curated record
UUCAGUCCAUUUUUUCAAGCAGUGAUCCAGCUCAUGGUUUCAAGUCAACCUUCUGAUCCUUGGAGAGAAUUAGGAUCUUGGGAUACUGUAACAUGGUACUUCUACCAACAAUAUGAUUCUAAACUUCCAGCUCGCAGGUUAGGUUGGCCAUUGCCAUUUGUUGCCGUAGUCCCAAAUUCUUGUCUCCAAAUGAAGAUAUGUCGUCAUUUUUCAGGUUGAUGACUGUAUAGGGCAGCUUGUAGCCCUAAUGUAGAGUUCUUUGUAACAAUCUUGUAGCUAAGAGCCUGACAACGGCAGUCUGUGGUCUCCCUUCAAAUUUGACGUGGUCGAAUGUGCAUAUUUGUUGUAUCAUGUAGAGUCUUUGUUUUCUUUUUCUAUAUGUAAGCAUGCUGUAUAGCCAUAAUUGAAUAAGAGUUUUCUUACAGUUUCUGAAUC